This 1715-nucleotide unclassified non-coding RNA is filed under the name Ixodes scapularis (black-legged tick). RNAcentral's name for it is "cREB/ATF bZIP transcription factor-like, transcript variant X1". Lineage: Eukaryota; Metazoa; Arthropoda; Arachnida; Ixodida; Ixodidae. The record is from RNAcentral.
GUUCGUCCAAACACACUGGGCCGUUCCCGUUCUUUGUUGUGUCGUUCACGUUGCGUAGCGGCGUAGCUCUCUUGUAACGGUCACGCGCGGCUCACUUUUACCGAAAAGUGGUCAAAAUAUCACCCGGCUCUUCAAGCCGAACUGGACGACAUGGACGCCGGUCCGAUCCUGCGAGACAUCAUGCUGGGUGGAGGCGGACAGUUCGGUGAUGACGACUUCGACCUCUCGGACUUUGCCCUGUCCGAACUGGCCAUGUCCGCGACGGCCUCGGAACCCUCGGAAACCAGCCGCCACGACGGUCGUGAGGUAUCCCCGCCGAAAAGUCCCGAGUCGACUACCGUACCGGCGGACACUGGACGGCGUUCCCGCGUUCGAGUGGUUAGGCCUAACUACGCCGUGCUCGCUGGCGGUAAGUCUCGAGGCCGAAGCAAGGGUGGUUCCGUGUCGAGCUCGGACGAAGACGGCCGCGGGUCUCCGACGUCCACGGGCGAAGCGGACGACGCGUACUUCUCGAGCCGCGGCAGCUGCAUGUCCAAGAACGCGAUCGCGGCCCGGGAAAAUAGGCUUAAGAAGAAGCUCUACGUGCACAAAUUGGAGCGGAGUGUCCGAGCCCUGACCACGGAGAACGCCGAGCUGAAACGGCGUACACGGGACAUGACCGUCGAGGUCGAAGACCUUACUGAAGAGGUGCGGUACCUCAAGAGCGUGCUCGCUAACGUGGACGAAAUAUCGGCGCUGGUGCGGAACAUUCGGAGCUCUAGGCCUAACGUUAUGACAUCGUUGAAGACCACGGGCAAGCGGAGACCUGUUGAAGACCACGACUACGUGGGAAGCAACGGUGGUGGUGGUGGCAGUGUUAAAGGUUCCAAUUGUGCAGUUUCAGGGCCAGGUGGGAAUGGCGUCUGCGUCCACGUCGCCGACGGAACCCUGUCGCUGGAGUUCUGUCACCGGUGUGCUUCGCAGUCCAAGAAGGCCAAACUCGAGGCCCAGACGGGCUGAGCCGCCAUCUUGAUGGUGGUUGCGACUCUGAACAGACGAUGGUCGGUACAACGUGUCACCUCCCUUCUUCACUUUGCAUGGAAGACGAGCCCUGUCGACCUACAGCAGAAAGAGAAUGUGUAGCGAACUUGUAGCGCGUGUGAUCUUUGAGUGGGGCAGACGCUUUGCUUUUCACGGCUUUCUUUCGUUACAGGUGAACUUCAGUGGCGGAGGCUGCUCAUGAAGAAGGUCCGGGAGCUUUCGACUACUGUGUCUGUCAACCGCACUCUUCUGCCGAUGCGUCCACUGCUGUCUGGACCCAGACCCGGGAAAAUGGCAUCAAGUAAGGGAACUGCGUGGUGUUGGUAGGUCUGGUGGUAAUCCUUAAAGUUCUUGUUUGUCACAUCUACAAGUUUUCUGUGUGUGUGUUUUUUUUUUGUUUUUUUUUUUUUAGUUUUCUUUACAUUGAGAACAUGAGCCCUGUUGUGAAUAGCCUUCUUUUUAUGUACUUUGAGAAAGUGUUUAGUAUUAAGAUGCUACACUUCAAACUGUUGUAAAUAGCUUUCUUUCUAUGUAGUUUGAGAAAGUGCUUAGCAUUGAGACUGUGCUAUGUUAAGACCUGUAAAUAGAACCCUGUUUAUUUGGAAAUGCAAGUCACAAAGAAGCGGUCAAUGUAUUCCCUUUUGGAACUACUGUUGUGCUACUUGGCUCAAUAAAUGUGUCUUGUGUUGAGCAGA